This 371-nucleotide ribosomal RNA is filed under the name uncultured organism. Its description in RNAcentral is "bacterial SSU rRNA". It matches the Rfam family "Bacterial small subunit ribosomal RNA", at positions 526 to 896 of the family's 1533-position model. The record is from RNAcentral.
CAGAGGGUGCAAGCGUUGCUCGGAUUUACUGGGCGUAAAGCGUACGCAGACGGUGAGGAAGGUCGGAUGUGAAAGCCCUGGGCUCAACCCAGGAACUGCAUCCGAAACCCCCUCGCUAGAGUAUAGGAGAGGGAAGCGGAAUUCCUGGUGUAGAGGUGAAAUUCGUAGAUAUCAGGAGGAACAUCUGCGGCGAAGGCGGCUUCCUGGCCUAUUACUGACGUUCAGGUACGAAAGCGUGGGUAGCAAACAGGAUUAGAUACCCUGGUAGUCCACGCCGUAAACGAUGAGUGCUGGAUGUCGGGGGUAUUCACCCCCUCGGUAUCGAAGCCAACGCGAUAAGCACUCCGCCUGGGAGUACGGCCGCAAGGUUG